RNAcentral lists this ribosomal RNA (253 nucleotides) under uncultured bacterium. Its description in RNAcentral is "partial 16S ribosomal RNA". It matches the Rfam family "Bacterial small subunit ribosomal RNA", at positions 524 to 776 of the family's 1533-position model. The record is from RNAcentral.
UACAGAGGGUGCGAGCGUUAAUCGGAAUUACUGGGCGUAAAGCGCACGUAGUCGGCUUUGCAAGUCGGGUGUGAAAUCCCCGGGCUCAACCUGGGAACUGCAUCCGAGACUGCAUUGCUAGAGUAUGGGAGAGGGAAGCGGAAUUUCUGGUGUAGCGGUGAAAUGCGUAGAUAUCUGGAGGAACACCGGUGGCGAAGGCGGCAUCCUGGACCAAUUCUGACGCUGAGGAGCGAAAGCCAGGGGAGCAAACGGG